UCGCGGCUUAUCACCGGCAGUCCCCUUAGAGUGCCCAACUGAAUGAUGGCAACUAAGGGCGAGGGUUGCGCUCGUUGCGGGACUUAACCCAACAUGUCACCACACGAGCUGACGACAGCCAUGCAGCACCUGUCAUCCUGCUGUAUUGCUACAGAAGUCCUAUCUCUAGGAUUGUCAGGAGAUGUCAAAUCCAGGUAAGGUUCUUCGCGUUGCUUCGAAUUAAACCACAUGAUCCACCGCUUGUGCGGGCCCCCGUCAAUUCCUUUGAGUUUUAGCCUUGCGGCCGUACUCCCCAGGCGGGGCACUUAAUGCGUUAGCUACGGCACCGCAGGGGUCGAUACCCGCGACACCUAGUGCCCAUCGUUUACGGCGUGGACUAC
This 380-nucleotide unclassified non-coding RNA is filed under the name uncultured bacterium. RNAcentral's name for it is "contains 16S-23S intergenic spacer region". The record is from RNAcentral.